Molecule: small RNA, 510 nt
Filed under: Vigna angularis var. angularis
Lineage: Eukaryota; Viridiplantae; Streptophyta; Magnoliopsida; Fabales; Fabaceae
Description: Non-protein coding transcript
Source: RNAcentral
CACAUGAUAGGAGCUUCAAAAAGCAAUGGGCUGGAUUCAACUGGAGGGUGCACACAGCAGAUGUGACGUUAAGAAAUUGGUAGCAGUGCCGUGGACAUCUGGUAGCAUCCAGCAAAGGGAGUCCGGGGUUUUCAGGAAGCGGACGUAAAUUAGAAAGGAGGGAGCCAACCGCCACACUUUUUUUCUUAGCUUUUUGAACGUUGUUUUGAGACAUGGGAUGAAUUGGAGAGAAGCAUGCUGUUUUCGGCCAGCAUUUUUUGCUGCAAGCGGUAUGCACAAGCUGAAGUGGUCAUUCCAUUUGGAGCAGGAAGCACACAAGAUGUGGUGCUGAUUCACUUUCAUUUUGGAGUGUCACACGCUGAAUUCAUUUACUUUGCUGAAAUGAAGUAGCGUAGUCCUAGAUUUUAUUUUCAAUGUCAUACGUUUUUAAUUUGUUGUUUGCUUUAUGAAUGUGUUGAAGCUGCUGAAUAGAGCAUUUCACCUUUUAACUCAAUAUUGCAAUUUACUAGC